UACGAAGGGGGCUAGCGUUGCUCGGAAUCACUGGGCGUAAAGGGUGCGUAGGCGGGUCUUUAAGUCAGGGGUGAAAUCCUGGAGCUCAACUCCAGAACUGCCUUUGAUACUGAAGAUCUUGAGUCCGGGAGAGGUGAGUGGAACUGCGAGUGUAGAGGUGAAAUUCGUAGAUAUUCGCAAGAACACCAGUGGCGAAGGCGGCUCACUGGCCCGGAACUGACGCUGAGACGCGAAAGCGUGGGGAGCAAACAGG
Molecule: ribosomal RNA, 253 nt
Filed under: uncultured bacterium
Lineage: Bacteria
Description: partial 16S ribosomal RNA
Rfam family: Bacterial small subunit ribosomal RNA
Source: RNAcentral